UAUACUAUUCUGACAGCGGUAGCAUCUUACCUCAUUAUAUAUAUGAGUUAUGUUAUGCUGUGAAAUCAACUUUAUAUUAAGUUGAUCAGUAUAAAACACUAUUUCUUAGCUGGAAAUUUGCUCCUCCAACCUCACAGAAUGUCAUAAAUUAUCUUGAAAAAUAUGCUAUUGUAUCAGUCCAUACUUGGAAAUGCAGUGGACAAUGGUAUUUCAGAUAUAGGUAUAGUUGAGUAAUUAUUCUAUAUAGUUAAUGGAAAAGGACUUUCAAAUAUAGUUUGCUUUCUGUUCUUCAUUCAUUUCUUGUUAAGAAGAUAAAUUCCAAAAAUUUUACCAGGAUGUCUAGCCAAGUAGGAAUCAGACACCUAUGGAUACUCUAGAAUGCCAAACAAUCUGAAAUCUCUAGAGCCCUGCCUUUUGCAAGCAGCAUGAUUUUGUGGGUUUUCCUAUAAAAAAGUCCACCAACUACAAGGAAGUCGAUCUCUCUGCAAGAAAUCUAGAGACAAAAUUCAUAAUUUGCUUUUUUCACAUGUUUUUUGUCCAUCUGCCUACUGGAUGACACAAGAAUGUAAAAGAUUGUGCUGCUUUAUUCCCUUAUGUAAACGCAGCCACUAUGGUUUACUUGCUUGUAGUAUUGCCAUUUUUCCUGUGUUCCAAAUCUCAUUUCUUCAUCCCUCCCUUCACACACCCACUACUAUUUUCUUCUUCACAUUCAAGAACUACUGUGCUUCUACUACCAAGAAACGUACAGUCCAUGAAGUCUUCUGAUUAAGAAAACUGAAACCUGCAUGUUCCGUCUAUUCCUAAAUGAAGGAGGCAAAGGAUUUUAUAGACCCAUAGAUUACUUGUAGGUUAGCUCAAAUCUAUAAAGCCUGUUUUAAAUUAAUGUUUUGUCUGACUCAAAGGACUCUAUUUUUGCUGUCAUGCUUUUGUUUAAAUGCAAAGUUUUGUGGCUGAUUGUUGAUGAUGAUACCUUUUGCAAAUGUUCUCCUGAAAGUCUCAAGAUUUACAUUCUAUUUUCUGUUCCUCUUUGUCUUAUUAAUAUU
Long non-coding RNA from Perognathus longimembris pacificus (Pacific pocket mouse), 1043 nucleotides. RefSeq lists it as uncharacterized. The transcript has 3 exons. Lineage: Eukaryota; Metazoa; Chordata; Mammalia; Rodentia; Heteromyidae. The record is from RefSeq and is a predicted model, not a curated record.